GACGAACGCUGGCGGCGUGCUUAACACAUGCAAGUCGAACGGAAAGGCCCUGCUUUUGUGGGGUGCUCGAGUGGCGAACGGGUGAGUAACACGUGAGUAACCUGCCCUUGACUUUGGGAUAACUUCAGGAAACUGGGGCUAAUACCGGAUAGGAGCUCCUGCUGCAUGGUGGGGGUUGGAAAGUUUCGGCGGUUGGGGAUGGACUCGCGGCUUAUCAGCUUGUUGGUGGGGUAGUGGCUUACCAAGGCUUUGACGGGUAGCCGGCCUGAGAGGGAGACCGGCCACAUUGGGACUGAGAUACGGCCCAGACUCCUACGGGAGGCAGCAGUGGGGAGUAUUGCACAAUGGGCGGAAGCCUGAUGCAGCAACGCCGCGUGCGGGAUGACGGCCUUCGGGUUGUAAACCGCUUUCGCCUGUGACGAAGCGUGAGUGACGGUAAUGGGUAAAGAAGCACCGGCUAACUACGUG
This 468-nucleotide ribosomal RNA is filed under the name uncultured bacterium. RNAcentral's name for it is "partial 16S ribosomal RNA". It matches the Rfam family "Bacterial small subunit ribosomal RNA", at positions 28 to 507 of the family's 1533-position model. The record is from RNAcentral.